GGAGAAAUGGCCAAGUUGGUCUAAGGCGUCACUUUAAGGACAUGUUCUCUUUAGAGGCGUGGGUUUAAAUCCUACUCUCUUCA
Transfer RNA from Basidiobolus meristosporus CBS 931.73, 83 nucleotides. It matches the Rfam family "tRNA". Rfam says of the family: Transfer RNA (tRNA) molecules are approximately 80 nucleotides in length. NCBI's taxonomy places the organism in Eukaryota, Fungi, Basidiobolomycota, Basidiobolomycetes, Basidiobolales, Basidiobolaceae. The record is from Rfam.